This 526-nucleotide ribosomal RNA is filed under the name uncultured prokaryote. RNAcentral describes it as "partial 16S ribosomal RNA". It matches the Rfam family "Bacterial small subunit ribosomal RNA", at positions 355 to 896 of the family's 1533-position model. The record is from RNAcentral.
UGGGGAAUCUUGCRMAASGGSCSAAAGCCYGACGCAGCAACGCCGCGUGCGGSAWKWARGCUUUCGGGCUGUAAACCGCUUUCASCAGGAACGAAAAUGACGGUACCUGCAGAASAAGGAGCGGCCAACUAUGUGCCAGCAGCCGCGGUGAUACAUAGGCUUCAAGCGUUGUCCGGAUUUAUUGGGCGUAAAGAGUUCGUAGGCGGUCGAGUAAGUCGGGUGUGAAAAUUCUGGGCUUAACCCAGAGACGCCACCCGAUACUGCUUAACUUGAGUUCGAUAGGGGAGUGGGGAAUUCCUAGUGUAGCGGUGAAAUGCGCAGAUAUUAGGAGGAACACCGGUGGCGAAGGCGCCACUCUGGAUCGAUACUGACGCUGAGGAACGAAAGCAUGGGUAGCAAACAGGAUUAGAUACCCUGGUAGUCCAUGCCGUAAACGGUGGGCACUAGGUGUGGGAUUCUAUUAACGAAUUCCGCGCCGUCGCUAACGCAUUAAGUGCCCCGCCUGGGGAGUACGGUCGCAAGACUA